This 492-nucleotide ribosomal RNA is filed under the name uncultured bacterium. Its description in RNAcentral is "partial 16S ribosomal RNA". It matches the Rfam family "Bacterial small subunit ribosomal RNA", at positions 29 to 507 of the family's 1533-position model. The record is from RNAcentral.
AGUGAACGCUGGCGGUAGGCCUAACACAUGCAAGUCGAACGGCAGCACAGUAAGAGCUUGCUCUUACGGGUGGCGAGUGGCGGACGGGUGAGGAAUACAUCGGAAUCUACUUUUUCGUGGGGGAUAACGUAGGGAAACUUACGCUAAUACCGCAUACGACCUACGGGUGAAAUCAGGGGAUCUUCGGACCUUGCGCGAUUGAAUGAGCCGAUGUCGGAUUAGCUAGUUGGCGGGGUAAGGGCACACCAAGGCGACGAUCCGUAGCUGGUCUGAGAGGAUGAUCAGCCACACUGGAACUGAGACACGGUCCAGACUCCUACGGGAGGCAGCAGUGGGGAAUAUUGGACAAUGGGCGCAAGCCUGAUCCAGCCAUGCCGCGUGGGUGAAGAAGGCCUUCGGGUUGUAAAGCCCUUUUGUUGGGAAAGAAAAGAAGCAGGUUAAUACCCCGCUGUUCUGACGGUACCCAAAGAAUAAGCACCGGCUAACUUCGUG